This 114-nucleotide non-coding RNA is filed under the name bovine gut metagenome. RNAcentral describes it as "FMN riboswitch (RFN element)". It matches the Rfam family "FMN riboswitch aptamer (RFN element)". Rfam says of the family: The RFN element is a highly conserved domain that is found frequently in the 5'-untranslated regions of prokaryotic mRNAs that encode for flavin mononucleotide (FMN) biosynthesis and transport proteins. The record is from RNAcentral.
CUUCUUCGGGGACGGGUGAAAUUCCCUACCGGCGGUAAAGCCCGCGAACUGAGCCAACGCUCAGCCGAUCCGGUCCAAUUCCGGAGCCGACAGUACAGUCUGGAUGAGAGAAGA